Molecule: ribosomal RNA, 1215 nt
Filed under: uncultured bacterium
Lineage: Bacteria
Description: partial 16S ribosomal RNA
Rfam family: Bacterial small subunit ribosomal RNA
Source: RNAcentral
AACGGGUGAGUAAUAUAUCGGAACGUGUCCAAUAAUGGGGGAUAACGAGUCGAAAGAUUCGCUAAUACCGCAUACGCCCUACGGGGGAAAGCAGGGGAUCGUAAGACCUUGCGUUAAUGGAGCGGCCGAUAUCUGAUUAGCUUGUUGGUGAGGUAAAGGCUCACCAAGGCGACGAUCAGUAGCUGGUUUGAGAGAACGACCAGCCACACUGGAACUGAGACACGGUCCAGACUCCUACGGGAGGCAGCAGUGGGGAAUUUUGGACAAUGGGGGCAACCCUGAUCCAGCCAUUCCGCGUGAGUGAAGAAGGCCUUCGGGUUGUAAAGCUCUUUCGCAAGGGAAGAAAACUUAUGAUCGAAUAAAUCAUGAGGUUGACGGUGCCUUGAUAAGAAGCACCGGCUAACUACGUGCCAGCAGCCGCGGUAAUACGUAGGGUGCGAGCGUUAAUCGGAAUUACUGGGCGUAAAGCGUGCGCAGGCGGUUUUGUAAGUCGGAUGUGAAAUCCCCGGGCUCAACCUGGGAACUGCGUUCGAAACUGCAAGGCUAGAGUGUGUCAGAGGGGGGUAGAAUUCCACGUGUAGCAGUGAAAUGCGUAGAGAUGUGGAGGAAUACCAAUGGCGAAGGCAGCCCCCUGGGAUAACACUGACGCUCAUGCACGAAAGCGUGGGGAGCAAACGGGAUUAGAUACCCCGGUAGUCCUGGCAGUAAACGGUGCACGUUUGGUGUGGGGCAAUCGACCGCGUCCGCGCCGGAGCUAACGCGUUAAACGUGCCGCCUGGGAAGUACGGUCGCAAGAUUAAAACUCAAAGAAAUUGACGGGGACCCGCACAAGCGGUGGAGUAUGUGGCUUAAUUCGAUGCAACGCGAAGAACCUUACCUGGUCUUGACAUGCAUUGUGUCUCUGCUGAAAGGCAGAUAGCGUAGCAAUACGCGCUUUGCACAGGUGCUGCAUGGCUGUCGUCAGCUCGUGUCGUGAGAUGUUGGGUUAAGCCCCGCAACGAGCGCAACCCCUGUGAUUUGUUGCCACCCGGUUUUCCGGAGCACUCGAAUCAGACUGCCUCGAUCAACGAGGAGGAAGGUGGGGAUGACGUCAAGUCCGUAUGGCCCUUACGACCAGGGCUGCACACGUACUACAAUGCCCAGUACAAUGAGAGCCGAUACCGCGAGGUGGAGGAAAUCUACAAAACUGGGCUCAGUUCAGAUUGGAGUCUGCAA